AGUGAACGCUGGCGGUAGGCCUAACACAUGCAAGUCGAACGGCAGCACAGUAAGAGCUUGCUCUUACGGGUGGCGAGUGGCGGACGGGUGAGGAAUACAUCGGAAUCUACUUUUUCGUGGGGGAUAACGUAGGGAAACUUACGCUAAUACCGCAUACGACCUACGGGUGAAAGCAGGGGAUCUUCGGACCUUGCGCGAUUGAAUGAGCCGAUGUCGGAUUAGCUAGUUGGCGGGGUAAAGGCCCACCAAGGCGACGAUCCGUAGCUGGUCUGAGAGGAUGAUCAGCCAAACUGGAACUGAGACACGGUCCAGCCUCCUACGGGGGGCAGCAGUGGGGAAUUUUGGACAAUGGGGGAAAGCCUGAACCAGCCAAACCGGGGGGGUGAAGAAGGCCUGCGGGUUGUAAAGCCCUUUUGUUGGGAAAGAAAAGAAGCAGGUUAAUACCCCGUUGUUCUGACGGUACCAAAAGAAUAAGCACCGGCUAACUUCGU
RNAcentral lists this ribosomal RNA (491 nucleotides) under uncultured bacterium. RNAcentral describes it as "partial 16S ribosomal RNA". It matches the Rfam family "Bacterial small subunit ribosomal RNA", at positions 29 to 506 of the family's 1533-position model. The record is from RNAcentral.